RNAcentral lists this ribosomal RNA (124 nucleotides) under Bradyrhizobium sp. S1.8. Its description in RNAcentral is "partial 23S ribosomal RNA". It matches the Rfam family "Bacterial large subunit ribosomal RNA", at positions 1 to 123 of the family's 2925-position model. The record is from RNAcentral. RNAcentral also lists the same sequence under 4 other names. Lineage: Bacteria; Pseudomonadati; Pseudomonadota; Alphaproteobacteria; Hyphomicrobiales; Nitrobacteraceae.
AAUCAAGUGCCUUAAGGGUGUUCGGUGGAUGCCUUGGCGCUGAGAGGCGAUGAAGGACGUGCUACGCUGCGAUAAGCCGUGGGGAGCUGCGAAGAAGCUUUGAUCCGCGGAUUUCCGAAUGGGG